AAGUUUUUGGUCGAGGUAGUUUUUGAUGAAGUUGAAGUCCAAUCAACUUGAAACUUAGUACACAUGUUCCUUAUGAUAUGAUCUUUCUAAUUCAAAUGCCAAAUUAGAGUUUUGACCCCAAUUUUACGGUUCACUGAUAGAAAAUGAUAGUGCAAAUUUCAGGUUAAAGUUUUUGGCUUCAGGUUAAAGUUUUUGGUCAAGGUAGUUUUUGAUGAAGUUGAAGUCCAAUCAACUUGAAACUUAGUAUACAUGUGCCCUAUGAUAUGAUCUUUCUAAUUUAAAUGCCAAAUUAGAGUUUUGACCCCAAUUUUACGGUUCACUGAACAUAGAAAAUGAUAGUGCAAAUUUCAGGUUAAAGUUUUUGGCUUCAGGUUAAAGUUUUUGGUCAAGGUAGUUUUUGAUGAAGUUGAAGGCCAAUCAACUUGAAACUUAGUAUACAUGUGCCCUAUGAUAUGAUCUUUUCUAAUUUAAAUGCCAAAUUAGAGUUUUGACCCCAAUUUUACGGUUCACUGAACAUAGAAAAUGAUAGUGCAAAUUUCAGGUUAAAGUUUUUGGUCAAGGUAGUUUUUGAUGAAGUUGAAGUCCAAUCAACUUGAAACUUAGUAUUACAUGUGCCCUAUGAUAUGAUCUUUCUAAUUUAAAUGCCAAAUUAGAGUUUUGACCCCCAAAUUUUUACGGUUCACUGAACAUAGAAAUGAUAGUGCAAAUUUCAGGUUAAAGUUUUUGGUCAAGGUAGUUUUUGAUGAAGUUGAAGUCCAAUCAACUUGAAACUUAGUAUACAUGUGCCCUAUGAUAUGAUCUUUCUAAUUUAAAUGCCAAAUUAGAGUUUUGACCCCAAUUUUACGGUUCACUGAACAUAGAAAAUGAUAGUGCAAAUUUCAGGUUAAAGUUUUUGGUCAAGGUAGUUUUUGAUAAAGUAGAAGUCCAAUCAACUUGAAACUUAGUAUACAUGUGCCCUAUGAUAUGAUCUUUCUAAUUUAAAUGCCAAAUUAGAGUUUGACCCCAAUUUUACGGUUCACUGAACAUAGAAAAUGAUAGUGCAAAUUUCAGGUUAAAGUUUUUGGUCAAGUAGUUUUUGAUGAAGUUGAAGUCCAAUCAACUUGAAACUUAGUAUACAUGUGCCCUAUGAUAUGAUCUUUCUAAUUUAAAUGCCAAAUUAGAGUUUUGACCCCAAUUUUACGGUUCACUGAACAUAGAAAUGAUAGUGCAAAUUUCAGGUUAAAGUUUUUGGUCAAGGUAGUUUUUGAUAAAGUAGAAGUCCAAUCAACUUGAAACUUAGUAUACAUGUUUCCUUUGAUAAGAUCAUUCUAAUUUUAAUGCCAAAUUAGAGAAUUUAUUCCAAUUUCACAGUCCUUUAAACAUAGAAAAUGAUAGUGUGAGUGGGGCAUCCGUGUACUGUGGACACAUUCUUGUUCCAACAAAUAUUC
RNAcentral lists this long non-coding RNA (1427 nucleotides) under Mytilus galloprovincialis (Mediterranean mussel). Lineage: Eukaryota; Metazoa; Mollusca; Bivalvia; Mytilida; Mytilidae. The record is from RNAcentral.